Long non-coding RNA from Cygnus atratus (black swan), 581 nucleotides. RefSeq lists it as uncharacterized. Lineage: Eukaryota; Metazoa; Chordata; Aves; Anseriformes; Anatidae. The record is from RefSeq and is a predicted model, not a curated record. The transcript has 4 exons.
GGAUAUUUGUGUUAUUGCAAAUACUGGUGAAUUUCUCCGAACUUGCAUUUGACUCACAGCCCUGGGCUGAACCCUGAGCACGUUGUUCCCCUGUUUUCAGGGAAUCUUCAGAGGGCCUGGCUAAAUUCAUGAUUCAUGUGUUUAAACCACAAGCUCCUUGGAAAUAGAUUGAGGAUAUUAAAAUAGAUAAUGUAACCAGUUAAAACAACAACAACAAAAGCCUAGCAAACACCUGUGACCAGCAGUUGUAACUGAGUAUAUGUGGUGCAACCGUGGCAGGCUCACAGAAGUCAGAGUGGAUCACAAAUACUAAAUGCAUGUCAAGGGAGAUGCUGGCUCCUAUAAAUGUAGAGUGACAUGUUGAGUCACAGGUACGCGAACUCUAUAUAAAGGCAAAGCGUUACAUAGACAAGAGACUUGCCAUACUCUGUCUGAUCCGAGGUCCACCCAGCCCAGGACCCAGUGUCUGUCAGUGCGUGUCCAGCUGUGGGCUUCUCCAAAGCAUUCAGAGGACCUGCUUGAGCUCCUCCAUUGGAGUGGGAAGGAAAAUUCUCCUGCCUGGUAGUACUGCUGGCUGUGGC